AAACCAACAGGGAUUGCCCUAGUAACGGCGAGUGAAGCGGCAACAGCUCAAAUUUGAAAUCUGGCUCUUUCAGGGUCCGAGUUGUAAUUUGCAGAGGGCGCUUUGGCGUUGGCAGCGGUCCAAGUUCUUUGGAACAGGACGUCACAGAGGGUGAGAAUCCCGUACGUGGUCGCUAUCCUUCGCCGUGUAAAGCCCCUUCGACGAGUCGAGUUGUUUGGGAAUGCAGCUCUAAAUGGGAGGUAAAUUUCUUCUAAAGCUAAAUAUUGGCCAGAGACCGAUAGCGCACAAGUAGAGUGAUCGAAAGAUGAAAAGCACUUUGGAAAGAGAGUCAAAUAGCACGUGAAAUUGUUGAAAGGGAAGCGCUUGCAGCCAGACUUACCUGUAGUUGCUUAUCCGGACUUUUGUCCGGUGCACUCUUCUGUAGGUAGGCCAGCAUCAGUUUGGGCGGUUAGAUAAAGGUCUCUGUCACGUACCUCUCUUCGGGGAGGCCUUAUAGGGGAGACGACAUGUAACCAGCUCAGACUGAGGUCCGCGCAUUUUGCUAGGAUGCUGGCGUAAUGGCUGUAAGCGGCCCGUCUUGAAACACGGACCAAGGAGUCUAACAUCUAUGCGAGUGUUUGGGUGUCAAGCCCAAGCGCGUAAUGAAAGUGAACGGAGGUAGGAACCCUUUGGGUGCACUAUCGACCGAUCCUGAUGUCUUCGGACGGAUUUGAGUAAGAGCAUGGCUGUUGGGACCCGAAAGAUGGUGAACUAUGCUUGAAUAGGGUGAAGCCAGAGGAAACUCUGGUGGAGGCUCGCAGCGGUUCUGACGUGCAAAUCGAUCGUCAAAUUUGGGCAUA
RNAcentral lists this ribosomal RNA (839 nucleotides) under Hydeomyces desertipleosporoides. RNAcentral describes it as "partial large subunit ribosomal RNA". It matches the Rfam family "Eukaryotic large subunit ribosomal RNA", at positions 62 to 919 of the family's 3401-position model. Lineage: Eukaryota; Fungi; Ascomycota; Dothideomycetes; Pleosporales; Phaeosphaeriaceae. The record is from RNAcentral.